GCCCCCGUAGCUCAGGUGGAUAGAGCACCAGAUUCCUAAUCUGGGUGUCGUGUGUUCGAGUCACGCCGGGGGCACCA
This 77-nucleotide transfer RNA is filed under the name Desulfococcus sp. 4484_242. Its description in RNAcentral is "tRNA-Arg". It matches the Rfam family "tRNA". From Rfam's summary of the family: Transfer RNA (tRNA) molecules are approximately 80 nucleotides in length. Their secondary structure includes four short double-helical elements and three loops (D, anti-codon, and T loops). RNAcentral also lists the same sequence under 5 other names. The record is from RNAcentral. Lineage: Bacteria; Pseudomonadati; Thermodesulfobacteriota; Desulfobacteria; Desulfobacterales; Desulfococcaceae.